RNAcentral lists this long non-coding RNA (2429 nucleotides) under Carica papaya (papaya). RNAcentral describes it as "long non-coding RNA (CPAP_LNC001043)". Lineage: Eukaryota; Viridiplantae; Streptophyta; Magnoliopsida; Brassicales; Caricaceae. The record is from RNAcentral.
AAAUAGGAGCAAUAUGGAGAUGAUAUAGGGGCUAGUUAAUAAGGAUUUCAAAAAAGAAGGGAAAUUUGGGAAUUAAAAAAAUAAAAAAUAAAACCAACGAUGCAUAUCUACCCUUGACAUUGAACAGUCCUCAUAACCCUUAUAAAAACUUCUUCUUCUCAGCCAUUUAGGGGGGGGGACCCUAAUAGAAAAGGGAGGGUCGAUUGUGAGAGAGAGAUAGUGAGACUGACUCAGAGGAGAGCAAGCCGAAUGAGUAUGAGAUUUUAGAGAGGAAGUAGGAUCUUAUAAUAGCUAGCCUAAUCGAGAGAAGGAUGGGCGAAAAGAGUACGAAGAUCUAAAGAGGAACUGAUGUCGUUGCGUUAUGGCGUCGCCAAGGAGGACUUGACACAGAACCGACAUUGCAAGUAAACAUCCACGCAGUGAUAGGAGGUACGAAAAAUUUGGGUUUCAAACACCAAAAUUGAGAUUUAUAUUUUUAAAUUCCUUAUUUCGGAGGAUGUAUGCAUGAUUGGGGUUAAAAAACAGAAGGGAAGAUAUUUGAACUUUUAGUAGAAUGUUAGAUUGUGCAUCAUAAAAGGCUAAACCUGAAAGUGUAUAUAGAUAUGUGAUGAUGCAACAACAAGGUAAGAGAAUCAAGGGUGAAAGGGUUUUCAUGAUAGAAGGCUGAAAUUUUGGAGAAAAUCAAUUAGGGUCUUAAAAACCAAAAAAUAGGAUGAAUGGCUAAAAGUAAAUCAGAUCUGUUAAAGAGAAAGGGAUAGCAGAAUGUAAAUUAAUUUAAGGAUAAAAAAAUGAAAAAAGUAUGAAUGAACACUAAAGAAACAAAAUAGAUGGGAAAUCAGGGCCUAUUUUAAGGGAGAGCCUAGGGGAGGAAAUAACAUAAUAUAGGUUUUGUUUGUAAUGAUUUAGAAACAGAAUUGUGAAUAAAUGAUAGGAGUUUGAGGAAGAGAAUAGAUGGAGAGAUAUGGGAAUAAAUGGAAAUUGUUACAAGGCAGAUAAAGGGAGAAGAAUUAAAUAGCCUUCUAGGGGACUGUGGUGUUAAACUAAAAAUCUUCCUAAGGAAACAUGGGUCGUUGUUUCUGGUGUGUGGAUUAACUUUGUAUGGGUGUGUGGUCAGUUGGUGGCCGAAAAGUGUGUGAAAAUAGUGUACCUCAUAUGCUGUAUUAUUAACAAUUGUGUAUUGCAUUUGUAAGUUGUAUGUUGUGUUAAUAGUUGUAUGUGUAUGAGUGGCCAAAUAUGGGUUGGAUUUUACAUUAUUUCCUUGUCACAUUAUCUACUGAUUUUAUUUACUAUGGAAUACAUUAACCUACCUUAGGUUAUUAAAUGUGUUGCGUAAGUGGGCUAUUUGAGUGGGAGAGUGAUGACAAAGAGUAGAAAGACUAUUGGGGACAAGUCAAGAAAGUGGAUAAUGGGCUAUUUGUACUUGUGAGCUUUGGGGAGAGUCUAAGAUAUCUAGAAUUUUCCUUUAGAGGGAAAAAGAGGACUAUCUAGAGUGAGAUAGAGAGUUGAGGGUGAAUCUGAUUUAGAAAUUUUUUUGAUUUUAAUACAUUGUUUAAAUUUAAAUUUGACUUCAUGGGCAUGUGUAGGCUCAUUCAUAUUUAUUUACAGACGCAGUGAAGCAAGAAUCAAGAUACGAUUCACCAUCAGCGGAAUCCAAUAUUAGGGGAUACAAGAAGAGAAUAAGUGAGAUUUUAACCAUUAUACUCAUAUGGACAUAAUAGUUAAAAUUAACAUAUGUAUAAGAACAUCUUUAUUAUUCACUAUGGUAUAGCGUAUGUUGAUAGGAAGCUAAGGAAUAUUUUGACUGUGUUGAAUUAGAUGAUGAUGAAUUUGAGAAGUAUGUACUAUCGGUAAUUUAAAAUAGGAUGCCUUGACUAUUAGAGGUUGCAGGGCGUUACAGGAUAAGAGAAAAGUACAGGUAAGUGAUUUGAGUUGAGGAAAACACCCACUAGGGUGAAUGAGUUACUGCACUGUAAUGCAUAUUUUAAUUGCUUGAGGCGCUGAUCUGGGCUUACUAAGCAAUUUAUGCUCAUCCUAUUAUUUAAUAUUAUUUUUCCAAAUCAAAUAAAAUAGAAGGGUGAUUCUAAUCAAAUCAACCUAGUUCUGGAAGCAUGGAGGAAACAAGAAAAGGGAAAACUAAAGCUGUGUAGAAGUGAGAUUAAAUAGAGGUUCAUAUGGCGAAUAUGAAUACAAGAACAAUGCUUCUGAAAAAGAGAAGAAAAAAAAAACAACAAGAGGCAGUAGGAUAGAUAAUGAAAAUUUAUACAUUUAGUUGGUAGGAUUUCAGAACUAUUUGAAUAUAUGAACACAUGUUUUGGAUCUUCUCAAAUUUUAUUUAUUUGAUAUAUAUAUUUUCUUGAUAUGCAAGUUUAUGAGCACUUGUAUAUGGGUUUCCAGGCUAGAUCAUUACACUGUCUGGAGUGAUGCAUGAU